GGUUACAGGUGUGAGUGGGUGGAGCCUGCUGCUGUGUCUCAGCGGGGCCGAGACCAGCUGCCUGAGGAGAGUCUCCUUCUCGCGGCUGCAGCGCCAUCACGUGGUGAACCUGUUGCCCCCGGUGAUGGAGGCGUUCUCUGACGCAGGCGGUGGUCUCUGUCACUUCCUCACUCAGUCUCAACGGACAGGAUCUGGAUUACCCAUGAGCCCCCACGCCUGUGGAUCGACCAAUCAGAAGCCGCGUCUCUCUGCGGUAGCAGACAG
Etheostoma spectabile (orangethroat darter) is the source of this 264-nucleotide long non-coding RNA. RefSeq lists it as uncharacterized. The transcript has 3 exons. Lineage: Eukaryota; Metazoa; Chordata; Actinopteri; Perciformes; Percidae. The record is from RefSeq and is a predicted model, not a curated record.